UACGCUAAUAUCGUAUCUAUUUGACAAAGGCUCCAAAGGAAGCCACGGCAAACUCUGUGCCAGCAGCCGCGGUAAUACAGAGGUGGCAAGCGUUGUUCGGAAUUAUUGGGCGUAAAGAGCACGUAGGUGGAUUUGUAAGUCAGAUGUGAAAGCCUUCUGUUCAACGGAAGAAUUGCAUCUGAAACUACAAACCUUGAGUAUAGGAGGGGAGAGUGGAAC
RNAcentral lists this ribosomal RNA (219 nucleotides) under uncultured Planctomycetales bacterium. Its description in RNAcentral is "partial 16S ribosomal RNA". It matches the Rfam family "Bacterial small subunit ribosomal RNA", at positions 448 to 667 of the family's 1533-position model. Lineage: Bacteria; Pseudomonadati; Planctomycetota; Planctomycetia; Planctomycetales. The record is from RNAcentral.